This 459-nucleotide ribosomal RNA is filed under the name uncultured bacterium. RNAcentral describes it as "partial 16S ribosomal RNA". It matches the Rfam family "Bacterial small subunit ribosomal RNA", at positions 338 to 795 of the family's 1533-position model. The record is from RNAcentral.
CCUACGGGUGGCAGCAGUGGGGAAUAUUGGGCAAUGGAGGAAACUCUGACCCAGCAAUGCCGCGUGAAUGAAGAAGGUCUUCGGAUUGUAAACCUCUUUUGUCGGGGAGCAAGGCCCGCCACGUGUGGCGGGAAGGAGAGUACCCGAAGAAAAAGCAUCGGCUAACUCCGUGCCAGCAGCCGCGGUAAUACGGAGGAUGCGAGCGUUAUCCGGAUUUAUUGGGUUUAAAGGGUGCGUAGGCGGAAGGUUAAGUCAGCGGUCAAAUGUCGGUGCUCAACACCGGCCUGCCGUUGAAACUGGUCUUCUUGAGUGAGCGAGAAGUAUGCGGAAUGCGUGGUGUAGCGGUGAAAUGCAUAGAUAUCACGCAGAACUCCGAUUGCGAAGGCAGCAUACCGGCGCUCAACUGACGCUGAGGCACGAAAGCGUGGGGAUCGAACAGGAUUAGAUACCCGAGUAGUC